GGAAGAAGAGGAUAUGGCAAGGAAAGCCGCGGAGUUGGCGAGAAAGGAGGAAGAACUGAGGAAGGAGCAAGCUGCAGCAGAGUUGAAAGAACAACACCGGAUGGAACAGAAGGCCAAAGCCAAGGAAGCUGAGGAAAGGAAGAGAAAAAAGGCAGAGAAGGACAAGAUUAAAGCUGAAUACAAAGCCAAGAAGGAAGCAGAACUUAGAGAGAAGAGGAAAGCAAAGAAGGAGAAGAAACCUGUGCUAACAGAUACAAAUAAUGGAGACGGUGGAGACAAUGCUUCAGUUGUUGAUGUUGCUCCAGCGGAAUCAGUAACAUCAAGGGAAACUGAAACUGUAGUUGGAGCUGCUCCAAGGCGGUCAUCAAGG
RNAcentral lists this unclassified non-coding RNA (370 nucleotides) under Hevea brasiliensis (rubber tree). The record is from RNAcentral. Lineage: Eukaryota; Viridiplantae; Streptophyta; Magnoliopsida; Malpighiales; Euphorbiaceae.